CGACUGGCGGCGUGCUUAACACAUGCAAGUCGAACGCGAAAGGGACUUCGGGUCCUGAGUAAAGUGGCGCACGGGUGAGUAACGCGUAGAUAACCUGUCUUCAUGUCUGGAAUAAUACGCCGAAAGGGGUACUAAUACCGGAUAUUCUUGCUUUUCAUAAGUUAUGCAAGCAAAGGUGGCCUCUGCAUAUGCUACUGCAUGAAGAGGGGUCUGCGUACCAUUAGCUAGUAGGUGGGGUAAUGGCCUACCUAGGCGACGAUGGUUAGCGGGUCUGAGAGGAUGAUCCGCCACACUGGCACUGGAACACGGGCCAGACUCCUACGGGAGGCAGCAGUGAGGAAUAUUGCGCAAUGGGGGAAACCCUGACGCAGCGACGCCGCGUGAGUGAGGGAAAGGCCUUCGGGUCGUAAAGCUCUGUCAAGAGGAAAGAAGUGUACAAUGGCUAAUACCUGUUGUAUUUGACGGUACCUCUAAAGGAAGCACCGGCUAACUCCGUGCCAGCAGCUGC
Molecule: ribosomal RNA, 508 nt
Filed under: uncultured bacterium
Lineage: Bacteria
Description: bacterial SSU rRNA
Rfam family: Bacterial small subunit ribosomal RNA
Source: RNAcentral